This 445-nucleotide ribosomal RNA is filed under the name uncultured bacterium. RNAcentral describes it as "bacterial SSU rRNA". It matches the Rfam family "Bacterial small subunit ribosomal RNA", at positions 354 to 796 of the family's 1533-position model. The record is from RNAcentral.
GUUUCGAAUCGUUCACAAUGGGGGCAACCCUGAUGGCGCGACGCCGCGUGGGGGAUGAAGGUCUUCGGAUUGUAAACUCCUGUCAUUGGGGACUAAUGGCCAGGCUCAUACCCUGGUUUGAAUUAACCCAAAGAGGAAGCAGUGGCUAACUCUGUGCCAGCAGCCGCGGUAAUACAGAGACUGCAAGCGUUACUCGGAUUCACUGGGCGUAAAGGGAGCGCAGGCGGACUCGUGUGUCGGACGUGAAAUACCGGGGCUUAACCCCGGUGCUGCGUUCGAAACUACGAGUCUAGAGACUUGGAGGGGUAAGCGGAAUUCUUGGUGGAGCAGUGAAAUGCGUAGAUAUCAAGAGGAACACCAACGGCGAAGGCAGCUUACUGGACAAGAUCUGACGCUCAGGCUCGAAAGCGUGGGGAGCAAAAGGGAUUAGAAACCCGUGUAGUCC